Molecule: ribosomal RNA, 541 nt
Filed under: Diaporthe sp. E7414b
Lineage: Eukaryota; Fungi; Ascomycota; Sordariomycetes; Diaporthales; Diaporthaceae
Description: eukaryotic LSU rRNA
Rfam family: 5.8S ribosomal RNA (bases 187-340)
Source: RNAcentral
GAGGGAUCAUUGCUGGAACGCGCUUCGGCGCACCCAGAAACCCUUUGUGAACUUAUACCUACUGUUGCCUCGGCGUAGGCCGGCCUCUUCACUGAGGCCCCCUGGAGACAGGGAGCAGCCCGCCGGCGGCCAACUAAACUCUUGUUUCUUUAGUGAAUCUCUGAGUAAAAAACAUAAAUGAAUCAAAACUUUCAACAACGGAUCUCUUGGUUCUGGCAUCGAUGAAGAACGCAGCGAAAUGCGAUAAGUAAUGUGAAUUGCAGAAUUCAGUGAAUCAUCGAAUCUUUGAACGCACAUUGCGCCCUCUGGUAUUCCGGAGGGCAUGCCUGUUCGAGCGUCAUUUCAACCCUCAAGCCUGGCUUGGUGAUGGGGCACUGCCUGUAAAAGGGCAGGCCCUGAAAUCUAGUGGCGAGCUCGCCAGGACCCCGAGCGUAGUAGUUAUAUCUCGCUCUGGAAGGCCCUGGCGGUGCCCUGCCGUUAAACCCCCAACUUCUGAAAAUUUGACCUCGGAUCAGGUAGGAAUACCCGCUGAACUUAAGCA